GAUGAACGCUGGCGGCGUGCCUAAUACAUGCAAGUCGAGCGAACGGACGAGAAGCUUGCUUCUCUGAUGUUAGCGGCGGACGGGUGAGUAACACGUGGAUAACCUACCUAUAAGACUGGGAUAACUUCGGGAAACCGGAGCUAAUGCCGGAUAAUAUUUUGAACCGCAUGGUUCAAAAGUGAAAGACGGUCUUGCUGUCACUUAUAGAUGGAUCCGCGCUGCAUUAGCUAGUUGGUAAGGUAACGGCUUACCAAGGCAACGAUGCAUAGCCGACCUGAGAGGGUGAUCGGCCACACUGGAACUGAGACACGGUCCAGACUCCUACGGGAGGCAGCAGUAGGGAAUCUUCCGCAAUGGGCGAAAGCCUGACGGAGCAACGCCGCGUGAGUGAUGAAGGUCUUCGGAACGUAAAACUCUGUUAUUAGGGAAGAACAUAUGUGUAAGUAACUGUGCACAUCUUGACGGUACCUAAUCAGAAAGCCACGGCUAACUACGUG
RNAcentral lists this ribosomal RNA (497 nucleotides) under uncultured bacterium. RNAcentral describes it as "partial 16S ribosomal RNA". It matches the Rfam family "Bacterial small subunit ribosomal RNA", at positions 28 to 507 of the family's 1533-position model. The record is from RNAcentral.